This 465-nucleotide ribosomal RNA is filed under the name Vreelandella stevensii. RNAcentral describes it as "partial 16S ribosomal RNA". It matches the Rfam family "Bacterial small subunit ribosomal RNA", at positions 338 to 795 of the family's 1533-position model. Lineage: Bacteria; Pseudomonadati; Pseudomonadota; Gammaproteobacteria; Oceanospirillales; Halomonadaceae. The record is from RNAcentral.
CCUACGGGUGGCUGCAGUGGGGAAUAUUGGACAAUGGGGGCAACCCUGAUCCAGCCAUGCCGCGUGUGUGAAGAAGGCCCUCGGGUUGUAAAGCACUUUCAGUGAGGAAGAACGCCUGGUGGUUAAUACCCAUCAGGAAAGACAUCACUCACAGAAGAAGCACCGGCUAACUCCGUGCCAACAGCCGCGGUAAUACGGAGGGUGCGAGCGUUAAUCGGAAUUACUGGGCGUAAAGCGCGCGUAGGUGGCUUGAUAAGCCGGUUGUGAAAGCCCCGGGCUCAACCUGGGAACGGCAUCCGGAACUGUCAAGCUAGAGUGCAGGAGAGGAAGGUAGAAUUCCCGGUGUAGCGGUGAAAUGCGUAGAGAUCGGGAGGAAUACCAGUGGCGAAGGCGACCUUCUGGACUGACACUGACACUGAGGUGCGAAAGCGUGGGUAGCAAACAGGAUUAGAUACCCUAGUAGUC